GGCGGUCUGUCAAGUCGGAUGUGAAAUCCCCGGGCUCAACCUGGGAACUGCAUUCGAAACUGGCAGGCUUGAGUCUUGUAGAGGGGGGUAGAAUUCCAGGUGUAGCGGUGAAAUGCGUAGAGAUCUGGAGGAAUACCGGUGGCGAAGGCGGCCCCCUGGACAAAGACUGACGCUCAGGUGCGAAAGCGUGGGGAGCAAACAGGAUUAGAUACCCUGGUAGUCCACGCCGUAAACGAUGUCUACUUGGAGGUUGUGCCCUUGAGGCGUGGCUUCCGGAGCUAACGCGUUAAGUAGACCGCCUGGGGAGUACGGCCGCAAGGUUAAAACUCAAAUGAAUUGACGGGGGCCCGCACAAGCGGUGGAGCAUGUGGUUUAAUUCGAUGCAACGCGAAGAACC
Molecule: ribosomal RNA, 397 nt
Filed under: Salmonella enterica
Lineage: Bacteria; Pseudomonadati; Pseudomonadota; Gammaproteobacteria; Enterobacterales; Enterobacteriaceae
Also listed under: 1 other name
Description: bacterial SSU rRNA
Rfam family: Bacterial small subunit ribosomal RNA
Source: RNAcentral